UUGCAUGACGAGAAAAAUUUGAUUAGCUCUAGAUCAAGAGCUGCAAAUCGCAGCAGUGACAGACAUCACAUCAUCAUCUGAUUA
RNAcentral lists this small nucleolar RNA (84 nucleotides) under Uncinocarpus reesii 1704. RNAcentral's name for it is "A. fimigatus snoRNA Afu_199". It matches the Rfam family "A. fimigatus snoRNA Afu_199". Lineage: Eukaryota; Fungi; Ascomycota; Eurotiomycetes; Onygenales; Onygenaceae. The record is from Rfam by way of RNAcentral.